Molecule: ribosomal RNA, 501 nt
Filed under: uncultured bacterium
Lineage: Bacteria
Description: partial 16S ribosomal RNA
Rfam family: Bacterial small subunit ribosomal RNA
Source: RNAcentral
AUUGAACGCUGGCGGCAGGCUUAACACAUGCAAGUCGAGCGGAGAGAGGUAGCUUGCUACUGAUCUUAGCGGCGGACGGGUGAGUAAUGCUUAGGAAUCUGCCUAUUAGUGGGGGACAACAUUUCGAAAGGAAUGCUAAUACCGCAUACGUCCUACGGGAGAAAGCAGGGGAUCUUCGGACCUUGCGCUAAUCGAUGAGCCUAAGUCGGAUUAGCUAGUUGGUGGGGUAAAGGCCUACCAAGGCGACGAUCUGUGGCGGGUCUGAGAGGAUGAGCCGCCGCACUGGGACUGAGACACGGCCCAGACUCCUACGGGAGGCAGCAGUGGGGAAUAUUGGACAAUGGGCGGAAGCCUGAUCCAGCCAUGCCGCGUGUGUGAAGAAGGCCUUAUGGUUGUAAAGCACUUUAAGCGAGGAGGAGGCUACUUUAGUUAAUACCUAGAGAUAGUGGACGUUACUCGCAGAAUAAGCACCGGCUAACUCUGUGCCAGCCGCCGCCGUAA